This 377-nucleotide ribosomal RNA is filed under the name uncultured bacterium. RNAcentral describes it as "bacterial SSU rRNA". It matches the Rfam family "Bacterial small subunit ribosomal RNA", at positions 28 to 404 of the family's 1533-position model. The record is from RNAcentral.
GACGAACGCUGGCGGCGUGCUUAACACAUGCAAGUCGAGCGGUAAGGCCCUUUCGGGGGUACGACGAGCGGCGAACGGGUGAGUAACACGUGGGUGACCUGCCCUCAGCUCUGGGAUAAGCCUGGGAAACCGGGUACUAAUACCGGAUAUGACUCCAUGACGCAUGUUGUGGGGUGGAAAGCCUUGUGCGGCUGAGGAUGGGCCCGCGGCCUAUCAGCUUGUUGGUGGGGUGAUGGCCUACCAAGGCGACGACGGGUAGCCGGCCUGAGAGGGCGACCGGCCACACUGGGACUGAGACACGGCCCAGACUCCUACGGGAGGCAGCAGUGGGGAAUCUUGCGCAAUGGGCGAAAGCCUGACGCAGCGACGCCGCGUGA